This is a non-coding RNA of Trichobilharzia regenti, 45 nucleotides long. The record is from Rfam. NCBI's taxonomy places the organism in Eukaryota, Metazoa, Platyhelminthes, Trematoda, Strigeidida, Schistosomatidae.
AUCCAGCUGACGUGUCCCAAAUAGGACGAAAUGCGCAUCCUGGAU